AAGGUGGUUGGGCUUCAUCGUUUGAGAAGCUCACAGAAACCUCUCGAAGCUCUCUUUCUCCUCCUAAAAUCCGAGAAGGAAUCACCUUUGAGAGCUCAGUUAGCAUUUGAAAAGGAAGACGGCUAUGAUCGCAAGCACAUCAGCGGUAGUUCUGUAGCAGAGUUGAGCAUCAAACAGGUUUUCAGCUUGAGGACCUUGACUUACGAUGGAAGUUAGUCUUUGAUAGUUCCUUGUACAAUUAAAAUGUUGCAUAGUUGAGUAGGUGCUUCCUCGGUGUGUACGGCCAAAAGAAUAGUUAAUCUUAAAUGGACGAGAAUGUGGGGUCCUCUUUGCCAGAUGAUAUUCUCGAUCAGUUGUUUGCUUAUGCUAAAACCACAAGUCUAGCGGACGCCUUAGAAGUUCUUGUGAAAUAUCAAGAAAUGCAGACUGUCUUUGCUUUGGUACUUGAUCUAAUUCAAGGACACUCGCAAUAUUUGACUGAACUUCUGGUACCAUCACUGCAGCUUCUGAGGAACCUAUGUGCUUGGAGAAGUUGUAAAUCAGAAUACUUUCAUUGAGAAGAAUGGAGUUGGGAUCAAUUUGACUGUCUUGAGGGCUCUGAUGCACACUCCUGCCUUAGAUUGAGGAGCCAUCAGGAUAGCCUUGCACACUCUAGCAAAUGUCUCAUUG
Eucalyptus grandis is the source of this 669-nucleotide long non-coding RNA. RefSeq lists it as uncharacterized. The transcript is spliced from 3 exons. The record is from RefSeq and is a predicted model, not a curated record. NCBI's taxonomy places the organism in Eukaryota, Viridiplantae, Streptophyta, Magnoliopsida, Myrtales, Myrtaceae.